UACAGAGGUCCCAAGCGUUGUUCGGAUUUACUGGGCGUAAAGGGUGCGUAGGCGGCCAAAAAAGUUUGAUGUGAAAUCUCGGUGCUCAACACCGAAACUGCAUUGGAUACUAGUUGGCUCGAGGAGUGGAGGGGAGACUGGAAUUCUCGGUGUAGCAGUGAAAUGCGUAGAUAUCGAGAGGAACACCAGUGGCGAAAGCGAGUCUCUAAACACUAACUGACGCUGAGGCACGAAAGCCAAGGGAGCAAACGGG
RNAcentral lists this ribosomal RNA (253 nucleotides) under uncultured bacterium. RNAcentral describes it as "partial 16S ribosomal RNA". It matches the Rfam family "Bacterial small subunit ribosomal RNA", at positions 524 to 776 of the family's 1533-position model. The record is from RNAcentral.